GCUAGUACGAGUCUUGAUGACUUUUACCAUGUAUUCAUCCUCCAGACAUUUCGCUGCAUUCUCUGUAAUUUCUACAAUUUUGUGGAAGUGACCACCUUUCAGGUUUCUCAAAUCAUCACAAGAAGGAAAUAUCAUGGAAUUCAUGUUCCCGCAAGCAUCACGGUCGAGUUGUAAUGAAUCUGCACAAGGCUUUUUUU
Long non-coding RNA from Hibiscus syriacus, 197 nucleotides. RefSeq lists it as uncharacterized. Lineage: Eukaryota; Viridiplantae; Streptophyta; Magnoliopsida; Malvales; Malvaceae. The transcript is spliced from 3 exons. The record is from RefSeq and is a predicted model, not a curated record.